UCAUGAGAUUAGUCGGACUCUGUCCAUAAUCUGCAGGAGUCUCCAGCUUGGCCCUGGAGAUGCACAGAAGCUGAGCUGAAGAUCACUGGCAGAGAUUCGCCCUGUAGCCCAGGCUGGCAGAGCCGCUACCCGAGUGCCCCGGCUGCUGGAAUCACAGGGAUGAGCCAACAGGACAACUCGCCUUCCACUACUCUCCUUUCUUCUACAUAUCCUACGGACACCAGGUCCCUUGAAGCCAAGCAACAGAUGACUCAUUGUUUGUUGCUUGGUUCUGGGAUUUUGUUUGUUUGGGGAGGUCUUUCUAGGAAGCCCUCACUGGUUUAGAACUCACCACACAAACCAGGCUGUCCCUCAACUUACGGUGAUACUUGCCUCUGCCUCCUGAGCCUCGAGAUGACAAGCAUCAUGGCUGGCAAAAUGACUGUUUUCAAAUGUAUCCAGGGUUUGUUUUGAUUAGCUAAGGUGAUGCAGACAACUCUGUCCCUCCGAGGGAAGAAAGCUUUUAUUUUUAGUUGUGUGGCUGUGUGCAUGGGAGUGUGGGCGCCUGAGGAGGCCGGAAGAAGAGAGCCUCUGGAUCUGGAGUCAGAGUGGCUGUGUGUCACCCAGUGAGGAUGCUAAAAACCAAACUGGGUUCUCUGCAAAAGCAGGGUAUACGCUCAGCCACAGAGCCAUCUCUCUAGACCCACAGCUGUGCCUAAAACAAGACUCUGUUAUUCACAGCUGCCAAGAAAAGAGGCAAUGAGGGACCACGUGUGCCCACAGGACGCAGAUAGAACAAGGGAAGGCAUAGCCUUUACUGUGAUCUCCAUGAGCAAAGUAGAGCUCGCACAACUCAGAGUGACGGAACAGUGCCAACAGGCCCUCACCAGCAGGACCCUGAGAUGUCCAGAGCCUAGCCCUGGACGUUAGGGAGGGAGCAUACUGGCUUAAUGAGUGGGACCUAAGAUAAAGGAAGUGACUGAGGACCUGACCUCGGAGUUACUCUCUUCUAUGAAAGGUGACCCCCAGGCCAGCUGCUCCAUCUCUCUAGGUCAGCCGUUCUCACCCUGUGGGUUGCAAGCCCUUUGGCUUGGAUUGACCCUUUUUACAGGGGUCACCUGAGACCAUAGGAAAACACAGAUAUUCACGUUAUGACUCAUUAUUACAGUCAUGAAAUAAUUUUAUGCUUGGGGGUCACCACACCACGAGGAAGUGUAUUACAGGGUCGAAGCAUUUAGGAAAGUUGAGAACCUCUGCUCUAGGUGUUAAUUAGCCACGUGGGCCAUCUGGAAGGUCGCGGAUGUCAAAGCACAGCAAACAAAACACGUGGCUAAUAGAGACACAUGUGCGAGGUCAUUCUUCACAGAAACUGACGGUGGGCGCUGUCCCCUGUGCAAACCCUAGGCGCGGCUGAGACGGGCCUUGCGCAUGCCUGUGACGGAUUCUCUUAAUUGGUUUAGUUGAGCGAGGGCUCCGUUUCCUGCGCUGGGUCCAGGCCUGACUGGACGGGAGAGGGCAAGCCAGCGCAAGCACGCAGGCGGUCGCUGCUGUCUGCUCCUGAGCGCGCAUGACGAGGUCUUUCGGGCCUCUGCUGCCUGGACUUGUGAGCCAAAGAAACCAUUUCUCUGGAAGUUGUUCUUGUUCGAGUAACUUUAUCACAGCGACAGCAAAAGAAACUUGAGACAGAAACCAAGGACAUUUAUGGAGCUGGUUAAGUAAAUUAUGGCAUAGCAAAGCCAUCAAGUGUUGUGUAACCAUGAAAAACAAUGUAUUUUUAAGUACCUUAAUUUACAGCUUUUUUAAUUCUGAAAAAAAAAAUCAUAAAAUUACCACAUUGGAAAACAGUAUUUGGGAUGACCAACAUCUGUGUAGCCAAGGCAUUGUCAUUCAUAUUUUGCUUCAGAAUAAACUGUCUUUAUUUUCCUUGUGA
Psammomys obesus (fat sand rat) is the source of this 1909-nucleotide long non-coding RNA. RefSeq lists it as uncharacterized. NCBI's taxonomy places the organism in Eukaryota, Metazoa, Chordata, Mammalia, Rodentia, Muridae. The record is from RefSeq and is a predicted model, not a curated record. The transcript has 2 exons.